RNAcentral lists this ribosomal RNA (1874 nucleotides) under Salmonella enterica subsp. enterica serovar Javiana. RNAcentral's name for it is "partial 23S ribosomal RNA". It matches the Rfam family "Bacterial large subunit ribosomal RNA", at positions 1077 to 2925 of the family's 2925-position model. The record is from RNAcentral. Lineage: Bacteria; Pseudomonadati; Pseudomonadota; Gammaproteobacteria; Enterobacterales; Enterobacteriaceae.
GGGAAGGCCCAGACAGCCAGGAUGUUGGCUUAGAAGCAGCCAUCAUUUAAAGAAAGCGUAAUAGCUCACUGGUCGAGUCGGCCUGCGCGGAAGAUGUAACGGGGCUAAACCAUGCACCGAAGCUGCGGCAGCGACACUCAGGUGUUGUUGGGUAGGGGAGCGUUCUGUAAGCCUGCGAAGGUGGCCUGUGAGGGUUGCUGGAGGUAUCAGAAGUGCGAAUGCUGACAUAAGUAACGAUAAAGCGGGUGAAAAGCCCGCUCGCCGGAAGACCAAGGGUUCCUGUCCAACGUUAAUCGGGGCAGGGUGAGUCGACCCCUAAGGCGAGGCCGAAAGGCGUAGUCGAUGGGAAACGGGUUAAUAUUCCCGUACUUGGUGUUACUGCGAAGGGGGGACGGAGAAGGCUAUGUUGGCCGGGCGACGGUUGUCCCGGUUUAAGCGUGUAGGUGUGUGUUCCAGGUAAAUCCGGUUCACUUUAACACUGAGGCGUGAUGACGAGGCACUACGGUGCUGAAGCAACAAAUGCCCUGCUUCCAGGAAAAGCCUCUAAGCAUCAGGUAACAUCAAAUCGUACCCCAAACCGACACAGGUGGUCAGGUAGAGAAUACCAAGGCGCUUGAGAGAACUCGGGUGAAGGAACUAGGCAAAAUGGUGCCGUAACUUCGGGAGAAGGCACGCUGACACGUAGGUGAAGUGAUUUACUCAUGGAGCUGAAGUCAGUCGAAGAUACCAGCUGGCUGCAACUGUUUAUUAAAAACACAGCACUGUGCAAACACGAAAGUGGACGUAUACGGUGUGACGCCUGCCCGGUGCCGGAAGGUUAAUUGAUGGGGUCAGCGCAAGCGAAGCUCCUGAUCGAAGCCCCGGUAAACGGCGGCCGUAACUAUAACGGUCCUAAGGUAGCGAAAUUCCUUGUCGGGUAAGUUCCGACCUGCACGAAUGGCGUAAUGAUGGCCAGGCUGUCUCCACCCGAGACUCAGUGAAAUUGAACUCGCUGUGAAGAUGCAGUGUACCCGCGGCAAGACGGAAAGACCCCGUGAACCUUUACUAUAGCUUGACACUGAACAUUGAGCCUUGAUGUGUAGGAUAGGUGGGAGGCUUUGAAGUGUGGACGCCAGUCUGCAUGGAGCCGGCCUUGAAAUACCACCCUUUAAUGUUUGAUGUUCUAACGUGGACCCGUGAUCCGGGUUGCGGACAGUGUCUGGUGGGUAGUUUGACUGGGGCGGUCUCCUCCUAAAGAGUAACGGAGGAGCACGAAGGUUGGCUAAUCCUGGUCGGACAUCAGGAGGUUAGUGCAAUGGCAUAAGCCAGCUUGACUGCGAGCGUGACGGCGCGAGCAGGUGCGAAAGCAGGUCAUAGUGAUCCGGUGGUUCUGAAUGGAAGGGCCAUCGCUCAACGGAUAAAAGGUACUCCGGGGAUAACAGGCUGAUACCGCCCAAGAGUUCAUAUCGACGGCGGUGUUUGGCACCUCGAUGUCGGCUCAUCACAUCCUGGGGCUGAAGUAGGUCCCAAGGGUAUGGCUGUUCGCCAUUUAAAGUGGUACGCGAGCUGGGUUUAGAACGUCGUGAGACAGUUCGGUCCCUAUCUGCCGUGGGCGCUGGAGAACUGAGGGGGGCUGCUCCUAGUACGAGAGGACCGGAGUGGACGCAUCACUGGUGUUCGGGUUGUCAUGCCAAUGGCACUGCCCGGUAGCUAAAUGCGGAAGAGAUAAGUGCUGAAAGCAUCUAAGCACGAAACUUGCCCCGAGAUGAGUUCUCCCUGAGACUUUAGGUCUCCUGAAGGAACGUUGAAGACGACGACGUUGAUAGGCCGGGUGUGUAAGCGCAGCGAUGCGUUGAGCUAACCGGUACUAAUGAACCGUGAGGCUUAACCUUACA